This 330-nucleotide ribosomal RNA is filed under the name uncultured Capnocytophaga sp. RNAcentral's name for it is "bacterial SSU rRNA". It matches the Rfam family "Bacterial small subunit ribosomal RNA", at positions 181 to 508 of the family's 1533-position model. The record is from RNAcentral. Lineage: Bacteria; Pseudomonadati; Bacteroidota; Flavobacteriia; Flavobacteriales; Flavobacteriaceae.
GUGGGUCGGCGAUCGGCCAGCAAUUAAAGCUUUGGUGGUUCAAGAUUGGCUCGCGUGACAUUAGCUUGAUGGUGGGGUAACGGCCCACCAUGGCAAUGAUGUCUAGGGGUUCUGAGAGGAAGAUCCCCCACACUGGGACUGAGACACGGCCCAGACUCCUACGGGAGGCAGCAGUGAGGAAUAUUGGACAAUGGAUGGAAAUCUGAUCCAGCCAUGCCGCGUGCAGGAAGACGGCCCUAUGGGUUGUAAACUGCUUUUAUACGGGAGCAAUAAGGUGUACGCGUACACCGAUGAGAGUACCGUAGGAAUAAGCAUCGGCUAACUCCGUGC